This 72-nucleotide transfer RNA is filed under the name Bos taurus (domestic cattle). It matches the Rfam family "tRNA". Rfam says of the family: Transfer RNA (tRNA) molecules are approximately 80 nucleotides in length. Their secondary structure includes four short double-helical elements and three loops (D, anti-codon, and T loops). RNAcentral also lists the same sequence under 5 other names. Lineage: Eukaryota; Metazoa; Chordata; Mammalia; Artiodactyla; Bovidae. The record is from Rfam by way of RNAcentral.
UCCCUGGUGAUUCAGAUGUUAAAGAAUCUGCCUGCAACGCAGGAGACCCGAGUUCAAUUCCUGGAUAGGGAA